Molecule: ribosomal RNA, 440 nt
Filed under: uncultured bacterium
Lineage: Bacteria
Description: partial 16S ribosomal RNA
Rfam family: Bacterial small subunit ribosomal RNA
Source: RNAcentral
CCUACGGGUGGCUGCAGUGGGGGAUAUUGCACAAUGGGGGAAACCCUGAUGCAGCGAAGCAGCGUGUGGGAAGACGGUCCUCUGGAUUGUAAACCACUGUCCCCAGGGACGAAGAUGACGGUACCUGGGGAGGAAGCUCCGGCUAACUACGUGCCAGCAGCCGCGGUAAUACGUCGGGAGGGAGCGUUGUCGGGAAUUUCUGGGUGUAAAGGUGGCGUAGGCGGGACUGAAAGUUGGGUGUCAAAUCUACGGGCUCAACCGGUAGCCGCACUCAAAACUGCAGUUCUUGAGUGAAGUAGAGGCAGGCGGAAUUCAUAGUGUAGCGGUGAAAUGCGUAGAUAUUAGGAGGAACACCAGUGGCGAAGGCGGCCUGCUGGGCUGUUACUGACGCUGAGGCUCGAAAGUGUGGGGAGCAAACAGGAUUAGAUACCCGGGUAGUC